RNAcentral lists this transfer RNA (90 nucleotides) under Violaceomyces palustris. Its description in RNAcentral is "tRNA-Met". It matches the Rfam family "tRNA". Rfam says of the family: Transfer RNA (tRNA) molecules are approximately 80 nucleotides in length. Their secondary structure includes four short double-helical elements and three loops (D, anti-codon, and T loops). Further hydrogen bonds mediate the characteristic L-shaped molecular structure. tRNAs have two regions of fundamental functional importance: the anti-codon, which is responsible for specific mRNA codon recognition, and the 3' end, to which the tRNAs corresponding amino acid is attached (by aminoacyl-tRNA synthetases). tRNAs cope with the degeneracy of the genetic code in two manners: having more than one tRNA (with a specific anti-codon) for a particular amino acid; and 'wobble' base-pairing, i.e. permitting non-standard base-pairing at the 3rd anti-codon position. The record is from RNAcentral. Lineage: Eukaryota; Fungi; Basidiomycota; Ustilaginomycetes; Violaceomycetales; Violaceomycetaceae.
AGCUCCUUAGCUCAGGGGAAGAGCGCUGGGCUCAUACGAUAUAAUCAUCGUGACACCCAGAGGUCGUCUGAUCGAAACGGACAGGAGCUA